This 364-nucleotide ribosomal RNA is filed under the name uncultured bacterium. RNAcentral describes it as "bacterial SSU rRNA". It matches the Rfam family "Bacterial small subunit ribosomal RNA", at positions 29 to 424 of the family's 1533-position model. The record is from RNAcentral.
AACGAACGCUGGCGGCAGGCUUAACACAUGCAAGUCGAACGGGCGUAGCAAUACGUCAGUGGCGGACGGGUGAGUAACACGUGGGAAUAUGCCUUUCGGUUCGGAACAACUCGGGGAAACCCGUGCUAAUUCCGGAUACGCCCUUACGGGAAGGAUUAUCGCCGAAGAUUAGCCGCGUUGGAUUAGCUAGUUGGUGAGGUAAAGGCUCACCAAGGCGACGAUCCAUAGCUGGUUUGAGAGAACGACCAGCCACACUGGGACUGAGACACGGCCCAGACUCCUACGGGAGGCAGCAGUGGGGAAUCUUGGACAAUGGAGGAAACUCUGAUCCAGCCAUGCCGCGUGAGUGAUGAAGGCCUUGGUU